CCUACGGGGAGCAGCAGUGGGGAAUAUUGGACAAUGGGCGAAAGCCUGAUCCAGCCAUGCCGCGUGUGUGAAGAAGGCCUUCGGGUUGUAAAGCACUUUCAGUGGGGAAGAAAGCCUUGGGGCUAAUACCCUCGAGGAAGGACAUCACCCACAGAAGAAGCACCGGCUAACUCCGUGCCAGCAGCCGCGGUAAUACGGAGGGUGCGAGCGUUAAUCGGAAUUACUGGGCGUAAAGCGCGCGUAGGCGGUCUGAUAAGCCGGUUGUGAAAGCCCCGGGCUCAACCUGGGAACGGCAUCCGGAACUGUCAGGCUAGAGUGCAGGAGAGGAAGGUAGAAUUCCCGGUGUAGCGGUGAAAUGCGUAGAGAUCGGGAGGAAUACCAGUGGCGAAGGCGGUCUUCUGGACUGACACUGACGCUGAGGUGCGAAAGCGUGGGUAGCAAACAGGAUUAGAUACCCCUGUAGUC
Molecule: ribosomal RNA, 465 nt
Filed under: Vreelandella stevensii
Lineage: Bacteria; Pseudomonadati; Pseudomonadota; Gammaproteobacteria; Oceanospirillales; Halomonadaceae
Description: partial 16S ribosomal RNA
Rfam family: Bacterial small subunit ribosomal RNA
Source: RNAcentral